Molecule: RNA transcript, 919 nt
Organism: Mandrillus leucophaeus (drill)
Lineage: Eukaryota; Metazoa; Chordata; Mammalia; Primates; Cercopithecidae
Gene name: membrane-spanning 4-domains subfamily A member 6A-like
Exons: 7
Source: RefSeq, a predicted model, not a curated record
UUCCUGAAGUUGCUAGAAGUUUAUAGAAAAGGAAGUGCAGGCAUAUUUCACAAAUUUACAACCUUUGGCAACACCAUCAUGACAUCACAACCUGUUCCCAAUGAGACCGUGAUAGUGCUCCCAUCAAAUGUCAUCAACUUCUCCCAAGCAGAGAAACCCGAACUCACCAACCAGGGGCAGGGUAGCCUGAAGACACGUCUACAGGCAGAAGUCAAAGUUAUUGGGACUAUCCAGAUCUUGUGUGGUGUGAAGGUAUUGAGCUUGGGAAUCAUUUUGGCAUCUGCUUCCUUCUCUCCAAAUUUUACCCAAGUGAUUUCUAUGCUGUUGAAGUCUGCUUACCCAUUCAUAGCACCCUUGUUGUUUGUCAUCUCUGGCUUUCUAUCAAUUAUCACAGAGAAAAGGUUAACCAAGCUUUUGGUGCAUGGCAGCCUGGCUGGAAGCAUUCUGAGUGCUCUGUUGGCCCUGGUGGGUUUCAUUCUCCUGUCUGUCAACCUGGCUGCAUUAAAUCCCGCCUCACUGCAGUGUGAGUUGGACAAAAGGAAUAUACCAACCAGACUUCUUCUUUCUUAUGAUGAUUAUAAUUCGCCUUACACCACGGACUGCUACAAAGCCAAAGCCAGUCUGGCUGGAACUCUGUCUCUGAUGCUGAUUUGCACUCUGCUGGAAUUCUGCCUAGCUGUGCUCACUGCUGUGCUGCGGUGGAAACAGACUCUGUCUGACUUCCCUGGUUACUCCUGUUCCCAAAGAUGACUCAUGAUGCUGGAUAUGAAGAGCUAUUGACUUCUUGGGAAAAAAAGGGAGAAAUAUUAAUUGGAAAGUUGAUUUUUAUGAUAAUAUGGAAAACCUAACCAUUACGAAAAAGUGAACUUGAGUUUCCUAAAUGUAAGCAUUUAAAGUAAUGAAUAUUUGUUUUAAAAAA